GAUGAACGCUAGCGGCAGGCCUAAUACAUGCAAGACGAACGGUAAGUUGAGUAGCAAUACUUAGCCAAGAGUGUCGUACGGGUGCGUAACACGUAUGCAACCUACCCUAUACAGGAGGAUAGCCUAGGGAAACCUGGAUUAACCCUUCAUAGUAUUAUUGGAUGGCAUCAUUUGAUAAUUAAAACUGAGGUGGUAUAGGAUGGGCAUGCGUCUGAUUAGUUAGUUGGCGGGGUAAUGGCCCACCAAGACGAUGAUCAGUAGGGGUUCUGAGAGGAAGAUCCCCCACACUGGCACUGAGAUACGGGCCAGACUCCUACGGGAGCAGCAGUAGGGAAUAUUGGUCAAUGGAUGCAAGUCUGAACCAGCCAUGCCGCGUGCAGGAAGAAGGCCCUUCUGGGUUGUAAACUGCUUUUGCCAGGGGAUAAAAUUUCCAUGCGUGGAAAACUGAAGGUACCUGGUGAAUAAGCCACGGCUAACUACGUGCCAGCAGCCGCGGUAAU
This 500-nucleotide ribosomal RNA is filed under the name uncultured bacterium. RNAcentral's name for it is "bacterial SSU rRNA". It matches the Rfam family "Bacterial small subunit ribosomal RNA", at positions 28 to 524 of the family's 1533-position model. The record is from RNAcentral.